GCAAGUCGAGCGAGAAGCUUCUUUCGGGAAGUGGGAAGCGGCAGACGGGUGCGUAACACGUGAGCAACCUGCCUUUAAGAAGGGGAUAGCCCGGUGAAAACCGGAUUAAUACCGUAUGUGGUUUCUGAACGCAUGUUCAGGAUACUAAAGCUUGUAAUGGCGCUUAAAGAGGGGCUCGCGGCCUAUCAGCUUGUUGGUGAGGUAGAAGCUCACCAAGGCUAAGACGGGUAGCUGAUCUGAGAGGAUGAUC
Molecule: ribosomal RNA, 250 nt
Filed under: uncultured bacterium
Lineage: Bacteria
Description: partial 16S ribosomal RNA
Rfam family: Bacterial small subunit ribosomal RNA
Source: RNAcentral